Molecule: ribosomal RNA, 1369 nt
Filed under: uncultured bacterium
Lineage: Bacteria
Description: bacterial SSU rRNA
Rfam family: Bacterial small subunit ribosomal RNA
Source: RNAcentral
GACGAACGCUGGCGGCGUGCCUAAUACAUGCAAGUAGAACGCUGAAGAGAAGAGCUUGCUCUUCUUGGAUGAGUUGCGAACGGGUGAGUAACGCGUAGGUAACCUGCCUGGUAGCGGGGGAUAACUAUUGGAAACGAUAGCUAAUACCGCAUAAAAUUGAUUAUUGCAUGAUAAUUAAUUGAAAGAUGCAAUUGCAUCACUACCAGAUGGACCUGCGUUGUAUUAGCUAGUUGGUGAGGUAACGGCUCACCAAGGCGACGAUACAUAGCCGACCUGAGAGGGUGAUCGGCCACACUGGGACUGAGACACGGCCCAGACUCCUACGGGAGGCAGCAGUAGGGAAUCUUCGGCAAUGGGGGGAACCCUGACCGAGCAACGCCGCGUGAGUGAAGAAGGUUUUCGGAUCGUAAAGCUCUGUUGUAAGAGAAGAACGGGUGUGAGAGUGGAAAGUUCACACUGUGACGGUAUCUUACCAGAAAGGGACGGCUAACUACGUGCCAGCAGCCGCGGUAAUACGUAGGUCCCGAGCGUUGUCCGGAUUUAUUGGGCGUAAAGCGAGCGCAGGCGGUUAGAUAAGUCUGAAGUUAAAGGCUGUGGCUUAACCAUAGUAUGCUUUGGAAACUGUUUAACUUGAGUGCAGAAGGGGAGAGUGGAAUUCCAUGUGUAGCGGUGAAAUGCGUAGAUAUAUGGAGGAACACCGGUGGCGAAAACGGCUCUCUGGUCUGUAACUGACGCUGAGGCUCGAAAGCGUGGGGAGCAAACAGGAUUAGGUACCCUGGUAGUCCACGCCGUAAACGAUGAGUGCUAGGUGUUAGGCCCUUUCCGGGGCUUAGUGCCGCAGCUAACGCAUUAAGCACUCCGCCUGGGGAGUACGACCGCAAGGUUGAAACUCAAAGGAAUUGACGGGGGCCCGCACAAGCGGUGGAGCAUGUGGUUUAAUUCGAAGCAACGCGAAGAACCUUACCAGGUCUUGACAUCCCUCUGACCGCUCUAGAGAUAGAGUUUUCCUUCGGGACAGAGGUGACAGGUGGUGCAUGGUUGUCGUCAGCUCGUGUCGUGAGAUGUUGGGUUAAGUCCCGCAACGAGCGCAACCCCUAUUGUUAGUUGCCAUCAUUCAGUUGGGCACUCUAGCGAGACUGCCGGUAAUAAACCGGAGGAAGGUGGGGAUGACGUCAAAUCAUCAUGCCCCUUAUGACCUGGGCUACACACGUGCUACAAUGGCUGGUACAACGAGUCGCAAGCCGGUGACGGCAAGCUAAUCUCUGAAAGCCAGUCUCAGUUCGGAUUGUAGGCUGCAACUCGCCUACAUGAAGUCGGAAUCGCUAGUAAUCGCGGAUCAGCACGCCGCGGUGAAUACGUUCCCGGGCCU